AUUUAAAUAAUUUAAUAAAAAAUGUUGAUUUGUGAUAUCAAAAAUGCAUAAUUAUGCUUUAAAUU
Molecule: transfer RNA, 65 nt
Filed under: Limbodessus compactus
Lineage: Eukaryota; Metazoa; Arthropoda; Insecta; Coleoptera; Dytiscidae
Also listed under: 1 other name
Description: tRNA-His
Source: RNAcentral